CGUUGAGCGUAGAAGGACCCGAAGUAGUUUUGCAAAUCCCUUUUCAAGAGAGCUGACGGCAGGUGAAAGUCAGUAACUAUUUGCAGGCGAAUUACAGUCCGGAGCAUCUUUUAAGGCGCAUAUUUCCCUUAAAAGACGGUGGCAUUACCGUUAACAAUCCCAAGUGGCAUUUUUAUUAUGCAACAAGGGUGGUACCGCGAGUGGAAACUCGUCCCUUAU
RNAcentral lists this non-coding RNA (219 nucleotides) under Lentibacillus amyloliquefaciens. RNAcentral describes it as "T-box sequence". It matches the Rfam family "T-box leader". Rfam says of the family: Uncharged tRNA acts as the effector for transcription antitermination of genes in the T-box leader family. T-boxes are found upstream of many aminoacyl-tRNA synthetase genes and some amino acid biosynthetic genes usually in Gram-positive bacteria. The record is from RNAcentral. Lineage: Bacteria; Bacillati; Bacillota; Bacilli; Caryophanales; Bacillaceae.